Molecule: long non-coding RNA, 633 nt
Organism: Scatophagus argus
Lineage: Eukaryota; Metazoa; Chordata; Actinopteri; Scatophagidae
Exons: 2
Source: RefSeq, a predicted model, not a curated record
UUAAGCUGUCAAGGUCCUGCCCACUAUUUUCGUCUGCUGCUGCAUUUCAGAAGGAAGCACACCUGCAAAAGGAGUGAAUGAACUCUUCACUGUUUGGAUUAAUUGAGGGCCUCAAGCUGUGACUUCACACCAAGAACUGGAUGUUUCAUUCUGCUGUCUGCAACUUUUGACCACACAAUUCUUCCCUGAGGAGACCACCGCUUCACUUUUGGGGCGUUUGCUCAUGCAGAACUGCAGCCGACUCGAGCUACAAACAACUGUACCAAACAACUGCACUUGCCUCUGUAAUCUGGGUUGAAGUCCUCAGUGUGAGAGAGCAUCCCUGGUGUCCUCCAGCAGUGCAGAUGUUCACUGAUUUCUCUUCUUGAACUCUGAGGAAAAACACAAAUGAUAGAGAUAAAAUGUAAUUUCCUAUCAAAAGGAGCUUAGUUUGACCAAAUGAUUUUUUUUAUAUAUAUAUAUCGACCUGUGAGACAACUAAAUAUUUUCAUAUAAUAUCCACAUAUUUAAGUCAACAUGUUAUAUCCAGUCCAUGGAGGCCAGUCUUAUUGGAGCAUGUAAUAAAAAGCUUCUUCUUUGGAGGAUAACCUUCUUUUGACAUUUCAGUCUUCAAAAUAAAUUUGGCUUCAUGGA